GAUGAACGCUGGCGGCGUGCCUAAUACAUGCAAGUCGAGCGAACAGACGAGGAGCUUGCUCCUCUGACGUUAGCGGCGGACGGGUGAGUAACACGUGGAUCACCUACCUCUUAGACUUGGAUAACUUCGUGAAACCGGAGCUAAUACUGGAUCAUAUAUUGAACCGCAUGGUUCAAUAGUUAUAGACGGUUUUGCUGUCACUUAUAGAUGGUUCCGCGCCGCAUUAGCUAGUUGGUAAGGUAACGGCUUACCAAGGCAACGAUGCGUAUCCGACCUGAGAGGGUUGACGGCCAAAAUGGAAAUGGGAAAAGGUCCAGACUCCUAAGGGAAGCAGCAGUAGGGAAACAUCCGAAAAGGGCGAAAGCCUGAAGGAGGAAAGACGCGUGAGUGAUGAAGGGCUUCGGAUCGUAAAACUCUGUUAUUAGGGAAGAACAAAUGUGAAAGUAACUAUGCACGGCUCGGCGGGACCUAAUCAGAAAACCACGGCUAACUACGUU
This 497-nucleotide ribosomal RNA is filed under the name uncultured bacterium. RNAcentral describes it as "partial 16S ribosomal RNA". It matches the Rfam family "Bacterial small subunit ribosomal RNA", at positions 28 to 507 of the family's 1533-position model. The record is from RNAcentral.